RNAcentral lists this ribosomal RNA (394 nucleotides) under Facetotecta sp. Its description in RNAcentral is "partial large subunit ribosomal RNA". Lineage: Eukaryota; Metazoa; Arthropoda; Thecostraca. The record is from RNAcentral.
AAAACAAUUACGCUGUUAUCCCCGGAGUAACUUUAUCAGUUAAUUCUCAUUACACAAAAUAAGGAUCUUAAUUCGUCUUUUUAUACUUUACAUCAAAAUAACACAUAUAUCAAUCAAACCCAUCCAUUUUCUCUCAAACUAUCAUAACAAAGAAGUGAAUAAAUACUCUCUACAACCGCCCCAGUCCAACUUUAUAUCAAGAAUACAAUUAUCAUCUCAUAAUUCUACAUCAAAGUUAAGAUUCACGGGGUCUUCUCGUCCCUUACCUACAUUUCAUCUUUCUCAAUGAAAAAUUAAAUUCAAUAUCACAAAAUAAACAGAGACAGACCCACUAACAUUUUCCCAUUCAUACAAUUUUACAAUUAAUAAACUAAUUAUUAUGCUACCUUUGCAA